UGAGUAUUCUAAGGCGCUUGAGAGAACUCAGGAGAAGGAACUCGGCAAAUUGACACCGUAACUUCGGAAGAAGGUGUGCCUUUAGUAGGUGAAGGGAUUUACUCCUGGAGCCCAAUGAGGUUGCAAAAAAUCGGUGGCUGCGACUGUUUAUUAAAAACAAAGCACUCUGCAAACACGAAAGUGGACGUAUAGGGUGUGACGCCUGCCCGGUGCUGGAAGAUUAAAUGAUGGGGUGCAAGCUCUUGAUUGAAGUCCCAGUAAACGGCGGCCGUAACUAUAACGGUCCUAAGGUAGCGAAAUUCCUUGUCGGGUAAGUUCCGACCUGCACGAAUGGCGUAACGAUGGCCACACUGUCUCCUCCUGAGACUCAGCGAAGUUGAAAUGUUUGUGAUGAUGCAAUCUCCCCGCGGAAAGACGGAAAGACCCCAUGAACCUUUACUGUAGCUUUGUAUUGGACUUUGAACAGAUCUGUGUAGGAUAGGUGGGAGGCUUUGAAGUAGGGUCGCUAGAUCUUAUGGAGCCAACGUUGAAAUACCACCCUGGUGUGUUUGAGGUUCUAACCUAGGUCCAUUAUCUGGAUCGGGGACAGUGCAUGGUAGGCAGUUUGACUGGGGCGGUCUCCUCCCAAAGCGUAACGGAGGAGUUCGAAGGUACGCUAGUUACGGUCGGACAUCGUGACGAUAGUGCAAUGGCAUAAGCGUGCUUAACUGCGAGACUGACAAGUCGAGCAGAAGCGAAAGCAGGACAUAGUGAUCCGGUGGUUCUGUAUGGAAGGGCCAUCGCUCAACGGAUAAAAGGUACUCUGGGGAUAACAGGCUGAUACCGCCCAAGAGUUCAUAUCGACGGCGGUGUUUGGCACCUCGAUGUCGGCUCAUCUCAUCCUGGGGCUGUAGCCGGUCCCAAGGGUAUGGCUGUUCGCCAUUUAAAGAGGUACGUGAGCUGGGUUUAAAACGUCGUGAGACAGUUUGGUCCCUAUCUUCCGUGGGCGCUGCAGAUUUGAGGAAGCCUGCUCCUAGUACGAGAGGACCGGAGUGGACACACCUCUGGUGUAUCGGUUGUCACGCCAGUGGCAUUGCCGAGUAGCUAAGUGUGGAAGAGAUAACCGCUGAAAGCAUCUAAGCGGGAAACUCGUUUCAAGAUGAGAUCUGCCGGGCCUUGAGCCCCCUAAAGAGUCGUUCAAGACCAGGACGUUGAUAGGUCAGGUGUGGAAGCGCAGUAAUGCGUUAAGCUAACUGAUACUAAUUGCUCGUGCGGCUUGACCCU
Molecule: ribosomal RNA, 1263 nt
Filed under: metagenome
Description: bacterial LSU rRNA
Rfam family: Bacterial large subunit ribosomal RNA
Source: RNAcentral